UUAAUUCCGAGACGACCCUUUCCGCUUCCUCUUCGUCCACCUCUGGAGAGAGGAGCGAAUAGUCAAAGUCAUUUGUAGCGUCGGACGCCUUGUUUUUAUUGUCGUAGGGGUCAAAUCCGUACUGCUUGAGUAUGCGAUACAGUGCUUGCAGUAUGAGUUUCACUUUGACGUCGUCGCUCUUCUUCGAGGAAAGAAUGUUUCCGAUGGAGGAGGAGGAGGAGGUGGUCACUUCAAUUCUCUUGGCCAUUGGCGAAAAGGUUCAACACGGAGGAAAGCAGGAGAGGAACCACCGACGAAAGAACGCCCUGUCCUCGCUGCUGAGACAGAUAGCGCUUCAAACGUUGCGGAUUCUUGUGAAUCUUUUUGUAGGCGAGCCGUCGUAAAAAGCGUUUGUGCUUCUUCAAACGCGCGAACGUAUCUGGAGCUAGAGCCACCUUUCCGUUCAAUACAUUGAGGCAAAUUUCGGAGAGGUGUUUCAUGUCGGACGAGGACGAACGUCUCAAGACGUCGCGACGGCGUGGAGGGGGUAGAGUGGAGAGUACUUUGAGUAAAGUGAGGUGAGGGCGGAGAUUCAUUUCGGAGCGUAGAUAUAUUGACGUUCUCCCGGAAAGAUAUUGCUACGCAACCUGUGAUCCUCGUGCGUAUAGUUGUGGAGAUCCACAAGUAAAUAUGCGUGGGGCGACGACAUCGCUUGUUUAUAUGCGUCCAGAAAAUACUCCAAUCUUUUUCUGCCAAAUAGCUGUUGGCCGAAAUGUUCCAUCUGGUGCACGCUGCGCACGGUGCGCCACAGGACGACGUAACUGGCGUUGUAGGAUAUUGUUCUAAAAUGGCUACUGUCGAAAAAGAUGUUUUGAACGAGUAAGAAGAUCGACGCGUUGGCGUGGUGAGAACCCCGAAUGAAAAGAUCGGUCACCUCCUUCAAGGAACCGGCGUCGGUCAUGUGAUCGUCGACGACGAUCAGCGUAGCGCGCGACGUGUCCCACUCUCGCGGUAGCUUCUUGGUAAAUUUUACGGAGUCCCCGAGUUCGUCCUGCAUGCUCGGCGAAGCAUAUUUCUGCACGUAGAAUAUUUGUGACGGAGGCUUGUCUACCACGUCGUUCAGGUUCCUCAACACGUUAGCAACGAACGUAGAUUUGCCGCACAUGGAGGGACCGCUUAAGAUACAGCGAAAAGGAUGACGGAAACGAAAAGGUUCGGGGGAAGACAUGUUACGUGCGUACACGUUGCACGAAGAGAAAGAAGAGACUGAGACUCGAGGAGAAAUGCAUUGCUUUUAUUUACACAUCCUCGUCGUCGUCCUCUACAUCGGAACUGCGUUCCCAAUACAGAUUGUCCAGGCUAAAGUUGGACUUCUUUUUCGCCAGUCUGUCCGCCGCUAAGAUGCGGUCGAGCGUCUUCAUCUUGUCCUGACACAUUUCUUGACGUGCUUGCAACCAUUCCAGACGGUGGACUUGAAAGGCUUCCUCCACGAUGCCGCGUAUAAAUUCGCGAAGUUCUUCGUUUUUUGUCUUUUCCUUGCGACGACGAGAAACGCAGGAGAAUAAACCACACAUGGCGUUUUCCACGUAUCGGUCAGAAUGAUGACGCGAGCGCGGUGCGCGCUGCCUUUAUACAGAUAAACGCGCGCGCGCAAAGAACGGAGAAUGAAAGCGAAACUGAAAAGCCACCCGUCGCCGCUAGGAGCGCGCGCGCGCAGCAGAGAGCCGAAACCGAAAACACCCGCGGCCGGCGCAGAGGGAGCUAGCAGCGCGCGCGCGCAUGCGCAGACGGGUGGAGUAGAGGGCGCGCGCGCAUCCAUAGCGGCCGCUGCGCGUCGCCUCUCUCAGUUUCUCUCGGACCGUCGCGGAAGACGGACGUGCGCUCCGCGCGCUCGCUCACUUUCUGGCUGGAUCUCGUAGAGAGCAGACGUGUGUGUUCUCCGCGCUCGCUCAGUUUCUGCCUGGAAGUUGCCGCGGGGGAAAAGAGCUAUGAUGGUGGCGCCAUCUGGUGUGAUGCCUUGCAACUAAGUGGCCACCUGUCGUCGAUCUCUGCAACUGCUGGGUGCAAACUACCAACAUGGCGGACGCUGGUCACUCGGGUGUUGCGGAGCGGCUUCUUCGCCGCGGCAUCGUUGAUUUUCGAAUAAAUUGUUUCUCUCCACUCUA
This is a long non-coding RNA of Ornithodoros turicata, 2144 nucleotides long. RefSeq lists it as uncharacterized. Lineage: Eukaryota; Metazoa; Arthropoda; Arachnida; Ixodida; Argasidae. The record is from RefSeq and is a predicted model, not a curated record. The transcript has 2 exons.